UUUUUUUUUUCAAAUUUAAGCUGAGAUAAUCUGUCUACUAAUGCCACAUUGAUAGUUUGCUCACCCAGUGAUUCAACAAAUGUUUAUCUAGUACCAGGCUUCGUGUUUGGAGUUGAAUAGAAAAUGUUAAAUGAAUCAGAAAUAUUUCUGCCCACAUGAAGGUUAUAGUUUAGGGCAGGGCAAGCUCUAGCCCUGAUGCCAAAUCUGACCCUUUGCCUAUUUUUGUAAAUAAAGUUUUAUUGGAACACAGCCAUGACCAUUGUUUACAAAAUAUCUCACUGCUCUCGCACUAUAGUGGCACAGUUGAGUGGUUGCAACAGAGACUGAAUGGUCUGCAAAACCUAAAAUCUUUACUACUGGGCCCUUUACAGAAGCAGUUUGCCAACCCUUGGUCUAGUGAAUAGUUGGAAUCUGUUUUCCCAUCUCAAGGAUCCACUUGUUUUUUUAUAAGCUGACUGACAAGUGUGUUUUUGAUUGAAAGGAGAGAAUCUAAUCUAAUGGGCUCAAGGAGAAAGGAGGAUUAUGAUAAAGUAUUUCCCCCAUGGAAUCCGUGGACAGGAAAUUAAAUACAGGCAUUACUCCUACAGCAUGAGCUUUUGCCAUACAAAUUGGCCAUAACUCGAGUCUAGUAAUUAAAGAAUAUAAUCUGCAUUACUGAGAACACUAUUGGUUACAACGAGAGCUUGACCAGGAACUAAUAACAUACUCAGCAGCUAGCGUAUAAGAAAAACUGUUGCCUGAGCGACACAAGAGCUUUGUUUCGGUAGUUUUGACUUUGUUUACCCUAAUAAUAGGUGAUAACAAAGGUAAAGGAGAUAAGGAUAUACCAAAUGUCCCUGAUAGGUAAUAAGCAUGGACAAGAUUUUUAAACAAAAGCUAAAAGCCACCAAAUGCUAGACUUGUCCCGUGAUGUUUAGAUUUUAGUCUUAGGGCUAUAAAAAGCAUCCUUCUAAUUGAAAUUACUGUAGGAAAGAUAACUUCUUUGGGGGAAAUCUGAAACUCUCCAGUCUUCAUCCAUUCUCCCUCCUUAAUACAUGAUUUUUCAAAAAGCAGUUUUUUUAAAUGUGACGUUUCUGAGGAAUGCAGAAUUGACUGUCCCAUCAGACCUCAUGAGAAACUGGGACUGGGUCAGGACCCGAGAUCAUUCUCGAUGUUUCCCUAUAAGUUCAUGGCCCCUUGGGCUUCCUUCCCUGCUCUUCUCUGCCUCCUCUCUUUGCCUGGCUCCCCCUGUGAAAACCUGAACAACAUGAACUGUAGGCCCAAGCCUACAUGUCUUCAGAGCCUGCCAUCACCUGGAACCGGUUUUAGAAUCCCUUGGUAUAAAGUCUUGAGACUCUAACUGGCUUCGCCCAGUUUAUAGUUGGAUACUUCCAGCAACGUCUGCUAAAACCUUAACCUCCACAGGGUCACCAAGCCAAAAGACUACAUUUCCAGCUUCCCUUGAAGCUCAGUGUAGGCCUGAGGCUAAAUCCCAAGCUGUGAGACAUAAGCCAAAGUGUUGCUUGAGUCUCCUGAGACGUUCCCUUGGGGUUGGACGUGAUGACCUGUGGGCCAAGAGCGCAAGAGCCACACUCUUGAGGUAGAAGAGUAUGAACCAGAAGAGCUCAGGUGACUGAUGGAAUCCCCGCAGCAGCGCUGGACUGCCCACAUCCAAAGCUUCUUUUACGGGACGGAGAGAUGCGUGCCCAUCUUGUUUAAGCAACUGUUUGGGGGAGUUUCUCUCACUUGCAACUGAACCUAAACCUAACGGAUGGUUUCCUCUGAUCCAAUAAGCUGUGACCAGAGAGGCAGGGCAUGGGGGAUACUGCUCCCCGAGAGUGAGCCCCCGGAUCUGAGCAGAUUUCCCAAGAAAAUGGGUUUGGGCACAGCGGGCAAACCAUUUGGAGUAUUUGCAACACUGGCUGAGGUCCAUUGCCAGACCACUCGGGUCAAGGCAGGGAAAUACUAGGAUACAUACAAAAUUUGAGGGUAGGGUAAAAAUUUUUACAUCAGGGUAAAAAUUGCAAUUCAAGGCUCUGAGUGGUGGCAUCAUGGGUAGCGUGGCUACAGGCCAGGUGGGCAGGUGCCCUGAGCAGAUGGAAGUCAAUUGUUCUGCUAAUAAUUGAAGAAACAUUGGUUACAUUCUUUCAGAGAUCCGGUUAACUCAUUCCCUUUGGCUACUUAGGGCUGUAAUUUAUAGGCAGCAAAGUCACUUAGGAUAAUAAAGCCCCCGGGCCUGGUAGCAAACUGCUGAGAUUCUUCAAGAAGAAAGGGACCACUUAAACAUCUCAAUCGGCUUUUCCGGAGUGAAUGAUCCCCAGAGGAAACAGGUUUCAAAUGUGUCUCCAUCAUUCACACUCUCAAGAAGAAAGAUGAGAGGAACCAAGAAAAAAUACUGAGAGUGCUACAUUCAUUUCAAAAUCUGACAAGUUCGGAGAAUCCUGGCACAGGUUUUUCCCCUACAGAACUGCAACUCUCAGAGGAGAUCCCACCGUUAUUUUCUUCCCUUUCUCUAAAAGCUCUUAGUGGAUUGGGAAAAAUUGGUUCAAAUAUCAAUUGGCUUGAACGCGUCUUUUCAAUAAAAAGAAGAAUAUGUCAUUUUUGAAAAUAGCCUUUCUUCUAUACAACGGUGUCCUACUGGGCUGUGGUCUUUCUGCUUAGCUUCUUCCUGAGUGAAUAUAAGCCUAAAAGUAUGAACAUAACCUCUGCCUUCUGAAGAAGCCCCCAGCUGGCAAGGCCCUUUCCCUCCAAGCUGCCGUGUCCCUCUGGGUCAGAGGCACAGCGGGCCUGAGCUCAGCCACAAAUGUCAGAUGCCUGAAAGCAGAGAUUUUAAGAAGGAAAUUGGUUGUUCUCCAUGUUCAGAAAAACAUUUUAAAAGGUCUGUAAUAGAAAACGGAGCGAGGAGGGGUGGGGUGGGGAGGGAGUGCUCCAUUCUCUGGCCUUGGCACAGGUCACCAAGGAGGACAACAACCUACAGAAACAGGAAAUCUUUGUGGAAAUGAAGACCCUCAAAAUGCGAAAAACAAUGACGACUUAUCCAGAGUUUGCUAGAGCCAGGGAGUCGGCCACCUUGACUCCAAGGCAGGGAGAAGAGUGGGGCAGCUGUAGAAGUAGGAAAAAAAAAAAAAGACAAGGCUUUAGGUAUGCCCUAAGUGGAGGCUGAGUGAGCUAAGUAGAAGGGAGGCAUCCGGGUGAUUGGUUAGGGGUGCGUACGUGCUGUCUCUAGUUGGCCCUAAGUUGAAAAUGGGCCCCAAAUUAGGGAAGCUGUCAGCUAUCAACCAAGUCCUGGCCAUUUGGGGCCAAUUGCUUCAGAAAUGAUUGGUUAGGGACGUCGGGGUGGCUCAGCAGUUAUGCUCCUCCCUUCGGCCCAGGGUGUGAUCCUGGAUUGCCGGGGUGGAGUCCCACCUGGGGCUCCCUGCACGGAGGCUGCUGCUCUCUGAGCCUGUGUCUCUGCCUCUCUCUGUGUGUGUCUCUCAUGAAUAAAUAAAUAAAAUCUUAAAAAAAAAAAAAAAAAAAA
Molecule: long non-coding RNA, 3496 nt
Filed under: Canis lupus familiaris (dog)
Lineage: Eukaryota; Metazoa; Chordata; Mammalia; Carnivora; Canidae
Description: lncRNA (ENSCAFG00845013070.1)
Source: RNAcentral